Molecule: ribosomal RNA, 253 nt
Filed under: uncultured bacterium
Lineage: Bacteria
Description: partial 16S ribosomal RNA
Rfam family: Bacterial small subunit ribosomal RNA
Source: RNAcentral
CACGUAGGGCGCGAGCGUUGUCCGGAAUUAUUGGGCGUAAAGAGCUCGUAGGCGGCCUGUUGCGUCCGCUGUGAAAGCCCGGGGCUUAACCCCGGGUCGGCAGUGGAUACGGGCAGGCUAGAGGUAGGUAGGGGAGAAUGGAAUUCCCGGUGUAGCGGUGAAAUGCGCAGAUAUCGGGAGGAACACCGGUGGCGAAGGCGGCUUUCUGGUCUGUAACUGACGCUGAGGCGCGAAAGCGUGGGGAGCAAACAGG